CGCGAGCUCUCCCAAGCCCAUACCCCGCGUGACGUUGGGAUAUUUUUCAUGGAUUUUGCACAAAAGGAGUCGCCACUAGCCUAUUGAGGUCGGCUAGAAACCAAGUGAGGCAUGGGAGCGUACCUCACUUCCUACACAACCAGAGAAUCUAGGUUCGGGGACUUGAUUACACUAAUUAACCAAUUAGUGCCAUUUCGGUACCUAAUCUUGUUCAUUUUAACAAAAUGAUUUUUGGCAGGCAGUUUGAAUUGAUUUUAUACCUAUCCACUAACAUGCGAGGUGAUCAUGCAGGUGUGCAAUCAUUAAAGUAAUAAU
This 315-nucleotide long non-coding RNA is filed under the name Eucalyptus grandis. RNAcentral's name for it is "long non-coding RNA (EGRA_LNC005969)". Lineage: Eukaryota; Viridiplantae; Streptophyta; Magnoliopsida; Myrtales; Myrtaceae. The record is from RNAcentral.